AAUCCGAGAUGCCUUACGAGCAAGAGGAGUUGAUCAAUGCUGCUGUUUAUCGCGUGGAUGCACUAGAAGCAUAGCUCAUCGACAAAAAAAAAGGUGUAAGAAUCUAUUUAAAACCCUGAAUGAUGCUUUAUAAGGAGCUAAUAUUAUGACAUUGUAGGCAUUACACGAGUCACGAGGCUUUAAUGAAGCAAUAAAAACUUUUGGGUUACAUAGACCGGAAAGAGGAAGGUGCCAAAUCUCCUUUGGCAGCUAAUAUUGUCAGGGUCGGGUUUGAAUAGAGGCUGAACAAGCAUUAGCUUGAGUGCCGGUUAGCUUAAAAUACUUUAGGGGCCAUUUUCAUUAAAGUUCAGUUAGUUCUGAUAGUAAACUUGGUUGGUAACUGUUGGAUAAGCUUCAAAGGUUACUUAAGUAAUAAGUUAUUCAAUAAGGAAAGAAGAAUAACUUAUACUAAUAGGAUUAGGAUAAAGAUAAGGUUCCUAGAUCAUUAUGUAAUAGGUUAAAGAUAAGGAUAUCUAUUGCUAUAUAUAGAGAUCAUAAUGUAAGAGAUCUAAUAAGAAAGUUAAGAAAGCAUAGAAAGAUAAUAAAACAAAGAAACAGUUUUAUAAGCUUGUGUGUUCUUGAUUACUUUAUUUGGUAUCAGAGCCAGGUUGACGAAGAUCUGUAAAAAGACCAAAAUACCCUUCAAGUAAGAAUAAGGGAGGUUCAGCAGAAACAGUCAAGAUGAUCAUGGAACCUGUGAUGACGAUCUCAAAGGACCGAGAUGUAGUGGGAGAAACAUUCUCAAAGGAAGCCAUGCGAUUACCGGUACAAGGUGGUGCCAAAGAUGAUUCGCCGAAGGAAACACUCGAGAUGGAUGUGAUCCUUAGCUUGAGGGGGAGAAUGUGAGAUAACAAGUUAAGUCCCACAUCGGAUAUUAGACAAAGGAAAGUCUAAUAUAUAAAGAGAUAUCCAACUCUAAUAGUACGAGGCCUUUUGGGAAGGAAACCAAAAGUAAAUCCAUGCGGGCCUGCCUCUUAGGCCCAAAGUGGACAAUAUCGUACUAAUAAGAUAAGAUAGAGUUGGAUACGGGAUUUCACAAUCCCAACAAUUGGUAUCAGAGCCAGGUUGACGAAGAUCUGCAAGAAGACCAAAAUACCCUUCAAGUAAGAAUAAGGGAGGUAUCAGAGCUCUAGGUUUUGUUCUUAGAAGUCAAGAAAACACAAGAUACGAUGGGCGAUACUAAACCCCUGUUGAAGAUUAAAGACUCGAUUCCAUCUGCAAUAGUUUGUCCAAUGCUAUCGACAUCUAACUAUACAGUAUGGACAAAGAGGAUGAAGGUUUUACUUAGAGUUCACAAGGUUUGGGAGGCGAUAGAUCCUGGAACGGAUGAUGAAGAAAAAAAUGACAUAGCCACGGCACUUUUGUUUCAAUCUAUUCCUGAGAAUCAGAUUAUGCAAGUUGGAGAAGAAGACACCCCUAAAGAGAUUUGGGAAGCAAUUAAAUCCAAAAACCUUGGUGCCGACCGUGUCAAAGAAGCUCGCUUACAAACCCUGAUGAACGAGUUUGAACGUUUAAGAAUGCUGGAAUCGGACACAAUUGAUAUCUUCUCUGGCAAGAUAUCAGAAAUAGCUGCGAAGUCUGCAUCUCUAGGUCAAACGCUUGAAGAACCUAAACUAGUUAAAAAGUUUCUGAACAGCUUACCGAGGAGUAAGUACAUUCACAUCACAGCCUCGCUUGAACAAGUACUCGACCUCAAUAAGACAAGUUAUGAAGACAUUGUUGGGAGACUUAAAGCUUUCGAGGAACGUGUACUAGGUGAUGAUACACACGAUCAACAAGGAACCCUUCUCUAUGCAAACUCUGAAUAUGGAAACAGAGGAAGAGGCAGAGGAAACCGUGGUCGUGGACGAGGAAACAGAGGAAGGGGACGUGGUAGAAGUGGCUCACAAGAGAGAAACAAAGAGAAGAAGGACUACUCGCAAAUCGAAUGCUUCAACUGCCAUAAGAAAGGUCACUUUGCCUCUGUUUGUCCUGACAAGAAAGAAGAUCAGGAGCUCAACAAAACAGAAACGGAAGAUGCAGAUGUAGCACUUUAUAUGCAUGAAGUUGUGUUUCUUAAUGAAGAGAAAGUAAUGCCAAGGAAGUUAGAAACCAACAAAGAAGAAGGAAUGUGGUAUCUAGACAAUGGCGCUAGUAAUCACAUGACAGGAGAGAGAUCUUAUUUCUCGGAGCUAAACGAAAACAUAAAAGGGAAAGUAAAAUUCGGGGAUGGAUCAUAUGUUGACAUUAAUGGGAAGGGAUCUAUUCUCUUUGAAGCAAAAACAGGAGAAUAGAAACUGUUAACAGAUAUCUACUUCAUACCUGAGCUAAGAAGUAAUAUACUAAGUCUAGGACAAGCGACAGAGCAAGGGUGUGAUGUCAGAAUGAAAGACGAUUUCCUAACCCUUAGAGAUCCUGAUGGAAGAUUGUUAGUGAAAGUCAUGAGAUCUCCGAACAGGCUCUACAAGCUAAAGCUUCAAGUAGGAAAAGCAGCUUGUCUACACGCUAGAAUGGACGAGGAACCAUGGAAGUGGCAUGCAAGACUUGGCCACAUCAGUUUCAAAACGUUGAGAACCAUGGCUACACAAGGAAUGGUUUACGGAUUACCUGAGAUAAAAGAAGAAAGACGUCUAUGCGAUUCUUGCUUGGUGGGCAAGCAAACUCGCCAAUCCUUCCCAAAAGCAACAACGUUUAGAUCCUCUCACGCUCUGGAACUCUUACAUGCGGACCUUUGCGGUCCAAUCUCUCCUGCAACACUAUCUCAUAACCGAUAUAUCUUUGUCAUAAUCGACGAUUGCACUAGGUAUAUGUGGUCUAUAUUACUAAGAGAUAAAAGUGAAGCUUUUGGUAAGUUCAAAACGUUUAAAAACUUGGUUGAGAAGGACUUCAACAAGGAGAUAAUAACGUUGCGGACAGAUAGAGGUGGUGAGUUUACCUCUCGGGAGUUUCAGGAGUACUGCAACAACAAUGGCAUAAGGCGACACUUAACCGCACCGUACACUCCGCAGCAGAACGGCGUAGUGGAGCGAAGGAACCGCACACUAAUGGAGAUGACUCGAAGUCUUCUUAAAGCAAUGAGCCUUCCAAACUACUUAUGGGGAGAGGCAGUUAGACAUGCCACGUAUUUGAUUAACAGAGUCCCUACAAGGGCUUUGAAAAAUCAAACUCCCUACGAGUGUAUGCGAGGCAAGAAACCGAGUGUAUCUCAUAUAAGAGUGUUCGGAUGUAUGGCGUAUGCAAAGAUUGAUUCAGAUCAUCUAAGGAAGCUCGAUGAUCGAUCUCAAGCGUUGGUUCACCUUGGUCUUGAACCUGGUUCCAAGGCUUAUCGCCUUUACAACCCUACUACUAGACGAGUUAUUGUUAGUAGAGACGUGAUCUUCAAUGAAAGGGCAUGCUGGAACUGGAAGGGAGCUGAUAAGGAAGUUCAGUACACGCCAGGCAUGUUUCAUAUGUCAUGGGGAUCUACAGAGGAUAAUGGAAGUGGUCCUUAUGUAGUAGGUUCCAACAAUGAAGAUAUAGUUGCAGAGCCAGGAACAGAGAAUAAUGAGACAGCAGAGGUUGUUUCAGAUACAGUCAAUGAUCAAGAGGUUACACAAGAAGUAAGAAGAUCAAACCGACAAACAAAUCGACCAAGCUACCUUGAAGAUUACGUCAUGCUGGCUGAUCUUGAGUGUGAGAUUUUGCUGCUUGCCUUGAAUGAUGAACCGUUAAACAUUCAAGAAGCACUCAAGAGUAAGCGAUGGAAGUUAGCAUGUACAGAUGAGAUCGAUUCCAUAUACAAAAACGAGACUUGGAUACUAGUUGAGAAGCCGCAAGGAGUGAAAGUAAUAGGCCUCAAAUGGAUAUUUAAAGUCAAAAGGAACGCUGACGGAAGCAUCAACAAAUUCAAGUCAAGACUUGUUGCAAAGGGUUACGUUCAAGAACAUGGAAUCGACUUUGAUGAGGUCUUUGCUCCGGUAGCUAGGUUGGAAACAAUCAGAUUGCUUAUAGGCCUUGCUGCUACAAAUGGGUGGGAGAUCCACCAUCUCGAUGUCAAAACAGCUUUCUUGCAUGGUGAACUGAUAGAAGAAGUAUAUGUGUCACAACCAGAAGGGUUUGAAAAGAAGGGAGAGGAACACAAAGUUUUCAAACUAAAGAAGGCGUUAUAUGGAUUGCGACAGGCUCCUAGAGCAUGGAACACAAAACUCGACCAGAUUCUAAAGGGCUUGAAGUUUAAGAAGUGCUCUAAAGAGAGUUCGGUCUAUCGCAAGGAAGUAAAGAGUAAACUUCUUAUAGUAGCCGUCUAUGUCGACGAUCUCUUCGUGACUGGAAGCUCAGUGCAAGCGAUCAUGGAGUUCAAAAGUUCUAUGUCAAAAGAGUUUGAGAUGUCUGAUCUUGGAAGGUUGACAUAUUACCUUGGUAUUGAGGUAAGACAAAGCGCAGAAGGAAUAGAGAUCAAGCAAGAGGCUUAUGCGCGCCAAAUAUUGAAAGAUGCAGGAAUGGAUACGUGCAAUGCAAGCCAAAUACCUAUGGAGUUCGGUCUGAAGAUAUCUAAAGCUAUAGAAGAACCUGAGAUUGACGCAACAGUUUACAGGAGAAGGAUUGGCUGUCUUAGGUAUCUCCUACACACUAGACCAGACCUUACCUUCUCGAUUGGGAUCCUAAGCCGAUACAUGCACACACCUCGCAAGUCUCACGGUGAUGCAUUAAAGCAAGUACUAAGGUAUCUAAAAGGCACACUUGGCUAUGGUUUAAAGUUUAAGAGCAAUGGAUCGAAGAAACUACUUGGAUAUAGCGAUAGUAGUCACAACACUGACUUGGACGACGGGAAGAGCACGACAGGUUAUCUGUUCUGUCUUGGAGAUACACCAAUAACAUGGUGUUUUCAGAAGCAAGAGACAGUAGCUCUAUCAUCCUGUGAGGCCGAAUUUAUGGCAGCAACUGAAGCAGCCAAGCAAGCAAUUUGGCUCCAAGAUUUGAUGAGUGAGAUAACUGAAAGGAAGAAUGAAAAGACGCUGAUCCGAGUGGACAACAAGUCAGCCAUUGCAUUAGCCAAGAAUCCGGUGUUCCAUCGACGAAGCAAACACAUUCAUAAAAGGUAUCACUUCAUAAGAGAAUGUGUAGAAAAGAAUCAAAUCGAUGUAGAACAUGUUCCCGGAAAGGAUCAACUUGCAGACAUACUAACAAAAGCAUUGGCGAAGAUCAAGUUUACAGAAAUGAGAGAGAAGAUUCAAGUUCUUAACUUAAGCAAGGAUGAUAUGAAGCUUAAGGGGGAGAAUGUUGGAUAAGCUUCAAAGGUUACUUAAGUAAUAAGUUAUUCAAUAAGGAAAGAAGAAUAACUUAUACUAAUAGGAUUAGGAUAAAGAUAAGGUUCCUAGAUCGUUAUGUAAUAGGUUAAAGAUAAGGAUAUCUAUUGCUAUAUAUAGAGAUCAUAAUGUAAGAGAUCUAAUAAGAAAGUUAAGAAAGCAUAGAAAGAUAAUAAAACAAAGAAACAGUUUUAUAAGCUUGUGUGUUCUUGAUUACUUUAGUAACGUAUUCAAAGUGCAGAGUUUGAACCCCCCCAAUUCUGUAUAUUAUAACACUAAUUUUUUUUAUAAAAAAGUUUAUAGGGCCAAAAAAAAAAUUGGUUGCUUCUGACCUUAUAUAUGUCAGGCACAGCCGUGAAUAUUGCUUCCUGACUAUUUCAUUAUCAUUAUAGAAAUCAAGGUUUUGAGGUAAUUAGCAAAGUUGCUUGUUCAGCAAUCUGAUUAUAAAGCAUGGAACAUUGACACAUAUAGGACUGUAAGCA
This 5785-nucleotide long non-coding RNA is filed under the name Brassica rapa (field mustard). Its description in RNAcentral is "long non-coding RNA (BRAP_LNC005257)". The record is from RNAcentral. Lineage: Eukaryota; Viridiplantae; Streptophyta; Magnoliopsida; Brassicales; Brassicaceae.